UGGGGAAUAUUGCGCAAUGGGGGGAACCCUGACGCAGCAACGCCGCGUGGAGGAAGAAGGUCUUCGGAUUGUAAACUCCUGUCUUCUGGGACGAAAAAUGACGGUACCAGAGGAGGAAGCCACGGCUAACUACGUGCCAGCAGCCGCGGUAAUACGUAGGUGGCGAGCGUUGUCCGGAAUUACUGGGCGUAAAGGGCGUGCAGGCGGUUUUUUAAGUCAGAUGUGAAACCCCGGGGCUUAACUCCGGGAUUGCAUUUGAAACUGAAGGGCUUGAGUGCAGGAGAGGUAAGUGGAAUUCCUAGUGUAGCGGUGAAAUGCGUAGAUAUUAGGAGGAACACCAGUGGCGAAGGCGACUUACUGGACUGUAACUGACGCUGAGGCGCGAAAGCGUGGGGAGCAAACAGG
RNAcentral lists this ribosomal RNA (405 nucleotides) under uncultured bacterium. RNAcentral describes it as "bacterial SSU rRNA". It matches the Rfam family "Bacterial small subunit ribosomal RNA", at positions 355 to 776 of the family's 1533-position model. The record is from RNAcentral.